Non-coding RNA from Oryctolagus cuniculus (rabbit), 413 nucleotides. Lineage: Eukaryota; Metazoa; Chordata; Mammalia; Lagomorpha; Leporidae. The record is from RefSeq and is a predicted model, not a curated record.
CCAGCUCUCCUUGUCUUAUCUCCCUAACCUCACAUUAAUCAUUUGUGUGUAAUAUUCACUUACAUAACAAUGAAGCAUUUAAAACACCAACUGGAUUACAGAACCCCAGACCCAAAUCUCACCAUCAGUAGCUCUUACCUUUGGAGCCUGGAAUAACAAUGUGUGUGACAGAGCAGUUGCCUGGGAGCUAUGCCAUGUGUUCUUCCAACUGAAUUCAGUAACUGUGGAUAGUGUUCAACAAGGAGUAGACCCUUGGGGUGAAUCUUGCGGCACAGCAGCAUCACCUUGUCCCUUCUUAAAGUGAGUAAUCCAAGGGUGGGUGUCGUGGUGUAGUGGGUAAAACAGCUGCCUGUGAUGCUGGUUUCUCCUAUGGGCACCCAUUCCUGUUGCAGCUACUCCACAUAUGAUCCAGC